CUUAACCAUGGAGGGUGACUAGAAACUGGUAGACUUGAGUAUAGGAGAGGAAAGUGGAAUUCCACGUGUAGCGGUGAAAUGCGUAGAUAUGUAGAGGAACACCGGUGGCGAAGGCGGCUUUCUGGCCUAUUACUGACGCUAAUGCACGAAAGCGUGGGUAGCAAACAGGAUUAGAUACCCUGGUAGUCCACGCCGUAAACGAUGAGUACUAAGUGUUGGGGGAAACCUCGGUGCUGAAGUUAACGCAUUAAGUACUCCGCCUGGGAAGUACGGUCGCAAGACUGAAACUCAAAGGAAUUGACGGGGACCCGCACAAGCGGUGGAGCAUGUGGUUUAAUUCGACGCAACGCGAAGAACCUUACCAGGCCUUGACAUCGUGAUGAUCGCUCUAGAGAUAGAGUUUUCCUUCGGGACAUC
This 417-nucleotide ribosomal RNA is filed under the name uncultured bacterium. Its description in RNAcentral is "bacterial SSU rRNA". It matches the Rfam family "Bacterial small subunit ribosomal RNA", at positions 608 to 1030 of the family's 1533-position model. The record is from RNAcentral.